Molecule: ribosomal RNA, 305 nt
Filed under: Stenopelmatoidea gen. sp. Gryll_PNG19
Lineage: Eukaryota; Metazoa; Arthropoda; Insecta; Orthoptera
Description: eukaryotic LSU rRNA
Rfam family: Eukaryotic large subunit ribosomal RNA
Source: RNAcentral
ACCCGUCUUGAAACACGGACCAAGGAGUCUAACAUGUGCGCGAGUCAUUGGGUAGUAAUACCUAAAGGCGCAAUGAAAGUGAAGGUGUCGCCUUGCGCGCACCGAGGGAAGAUGGGGCGUGCGUCAGCUCGCCCCCGCAUUCCCGGGGCGUCUCGUUCUCAUUGCGAGUUGAGGCGCACCCAGAGCGUACACGUUGGGACCCGAAAGAUGGUGAACUAUGCCUGGCCAGGACGAAGUCAGGGGAAACCCUGAUGGAGGUCCGUAGCGAUUCUGACGUGCAAAUCGAUCGUCGGAGCUGGGUAUAG